RNAcentral lists this ribosomal RNA (253 nucleotides) under uncultured bacterium. RNAcentral's name for it is "partial 16S ribosomal RNA". It matches the Rfam family "Bacterial small subunit ribosomal RNA", at positions 524 to 776 of the family's 1533-position model. The record is from RNAcentral.
UACGUAGGGGGCAAGCGUUGUCCGGAAUCAUUGGGCGUAAAGCGCGCGUAGGCGGCCCGGUAAGUCCGCUGUGAAAGUCAGAGGCUCAACCUUUGAAUGUCAGCGGAUACUGCCAGGCUAGAGUCCGGAAGAGGCGAGUGGAACUCCUGGUGUAGCGGUGGAAUGCGCAGAUAUCAGGAAGAACACCAACGGCGAAGGCAGCUCGCUGGGACGGAACUGACGCUGAGGCGCGAAAGCGUGGGGAGCGAACAGG